Labrus bergylta (ballan wrasse) is the source of this 669-nucleotide non-coding RNA. The record is from RefSeq and is a predicted model, not a curated record. Lineage: Eukaryota; Metazoa; Chordata; Actinopteri; Labriformes; Labridae.
ACACACACACACACACACACACACACACACACACACACACACACACACACACACACACACACACACACAUAACUGGUCUCAGACUGACCCUUGUGGAGAAAGAAAAUAUCUGUACAAAUGUUAGAUCCAAUCAGAGGGCAGCUUCAGUGAGAAGUUUUUGAUUACUGAGUCAGUUUUCUUAAGAUAUGAAGCUGCAGGUAGAGGUCUCAGGUGUGAAGCUGCAGGUAGAGGUCUCAGGUCUGAAGCUGCAGGUAGAGGUCUCGGGUAUGAAGGUGCAGGUAGAGGUCUCCGGUGUGAAGAUGCAGGUAGAGUUCUCAGGUAUGAAGCUGCAGGUAGAGGUCUCAGGUAUGAAGCUGCAGGUAGAGGUCUCAGGUAGAGGUCUGAGGUCUGAAGCUACAGGUAGAGGUCUCGGGUAUGAAGGUGCAGGUAGAGGUCUCAGGUGUGAAGCUGCAGGUAGAGGUCUCGGGUAUGAAGGUGCAGGUAGAGGUCUCAGGUCUGAAGCUGCAGGUAGAGGUCUCAGGUCUGAAGCUACAGGUAGAGGUCCAGGUGUGAAGCUGCAGGUAGAGGUCUCAGGUGUGAAGCUGCAGGUAGAGGUCUCAGGUGUGAAGCUGCAGGUAGAGGUCUCAGGUAGAGGUCUCAGGUAUGAAGCUGCAGGUAGAGGUCUCAGGU